GGUCUCCUCCCCCGGGCGGCAUCGUCCAAUGGCAGAACUGCGGCUCCCCCAGCUCACCGCGUCACCUACGGUGGAGAUAGAGAAAGGUGAGCCACAGAGGAUCAUCUGCCUCCAUCACAGUCCAUCCUCCUGUCACACCAACCUUCCUCUGCAUCCAUGAAUCUUCUCGGAGGUCAUCCUCUUGUCCUCCUGUCUGGCAAGCUCCAUCUUCAACAUCCUUUGUCCAACAUAUCCACAAAUUACCUCGACAGUCACUCCACCCUGCGUAUACUGUCUUGUUCACUGUCCGUUGUUUUGGAUGGUAGCCCCGAGGUAUUUAAACUCAUGCACAUGUAUUCUGUCUUGCUUCUACUGAUUUUCAUUCCUCCUCUCUCCAGCUCUGUAGGCCCUUCCUGAUGCAACCCUACAUAUUAGGACUAAGACUUUUAGAUUAAGGCUGAACAGAGAAACACUUAAUUCUUCUGUAAGACUCCAAAGAGUUAUUAGAUCUUUCCCUGUCCAAUAUUAUGCAAUAAAUUGUUUUAAAUAAAUGUUGAAAUUUUACAGCUCUCCUGUUAUCAUCUCCACCAUCCAGUUUCUUUUAAGGACCCACUGGAUGAACCUUUCCUAUUGUGAAGCAAAUGUCUUUUUUAAAACAUGCUGAAGCAGUACCUGUGUGCCUGCAUGUGGCCACUGAAACAUGCAAUUAAAUCAGCUUUUUAUUAAGAAAAUUUGACAAGCAUGCACUCAGUACAUUCUGGCAUGGUUGGAAGGUGUUUUGUUGACUUAAAGACAUGAAUAAAGCAAUCAUUAAUGACUUUAUUUACAUAUUACGUCUCCAUACUGCUACUCCUUUUAGAUGCUGCCAUAGUGGAUCAUCUGCCUUCAGCUCACCCUAUCGCUUACAUCCUUCUCUGCCACACGAGCUCUCUGCAGGUCCUCCUUCUCUACAUUAAUGAAGCUUCUCUUUUCCUCCUUUCUGGCAGCUCCAUAAUCCCGACACAGAAAGUCCCAACUCUCAUUUCCAAACCUUUCCUUCUCUCCUGCUGCCUCCCUCUUUCCUCUUUCUUUGUCCUUGCACAGCAGUUUCCACCAGCACCCUGCUGGUCAACAGCACCAUUGGUAGUCGUUCAUUCUUGACGAUCCACAUAUUUGAUUUGAAGAUUUUACAUCGGAUCCCCUUCCUGACCUAUUUAUCCAUGGUUGGUAACAGCACUAGGAGUACACUGGCAUGUGGCCCACCCGUGGCUGGUUAUUUAUUUACAUUUUAGUUACUCACAUAUAAUAUAAAUGCGACACCAUAUAAAGAUUAAGAAAACACCUCUCUUUAACACGUCACCCACUUGCCUUUCUUUUCUUUAGUGGACACACUGCUACAGCACAUACCAAAUAUGCCUCAAGAGGCAACAUUAUCACACACGUGAAUGACAGAAGCACUGUUGUUGUGUAAUGAAAGAAAAAUCUUAAAACUUUGAUACAGUCAAACAACAGAGCAUGAAAAUGGGUAGACACUUGUAUUUUUGAAAAUGUUUGCCUCCUCGUCUUAUCCCUUUGUUUGUGCAAAUUCUCCGAGGCAUGAUGUCAGCAGCAUUUUUGCCACAUCCAUACUCUCAGCAGCGGAGUAACCUUCUUUAUGUAUAGUUCAUAACAAGAUCUGUUGUUUGAAAAGGGAAA
Oreochromis niloticus (Nile tilapia) is the source of this 1653-nucleotide long non-coding RNA. RefSeq lists it as uncharacterized. The transcript has 2 exons. The record is from RefSeq and is a predicted model, not a curated record. NCBI's taxonomy places the organism in Eukaryota, Metazoa, Chordata, Actinopteri, Cichliformes, Cichlidae.